UCCGAAGGGGGCUAGCGUUGUUCGGAUUCACUGGGCGUAAAGCGCGCGUAGGCGGAUCGGUAAGUCGGGGGUGAAAGCCCAGAGCUCAACUCUGGAAUUGCCUUCGAUACUGGAGGUCUGGAGGAGAGAAGAGGCGAGUGGAAUUCCUAGUGUAGAGGUGAAAUUCGUAGAUAUUCGGAGGAACACCAGUGGCGAAGGCGGCUCGCUGGUCUCGUGCUGACGCUGAGACGCGAAAGCGUGGGGAGAAAACAGG
This 253-nucleotide ribosomal RNA is filed under the name uncultured bacterium. Its description in RNAcentral is "partial 16S ribosomal RNA". It matches the Rfam family "Bacterial small subunit ribosomal RNA", at positions 524 to 776 of the family's 1533-position model. The record is from RNAcentral.